GUACAAUCAAACCGAUGUAGGCUUAUUAAAUUCUUAAUGUAAAACUUGAAACAAUACACGAUAUUAAGAAUUAUUACUUAUAACUUUUAUUAUUGAAUGUACACAGACUCCUCUUGAAUGUAGAUAUAGGUAGAAACAUACAUAAAAUGUGAGUUAAAACAAGAGAUAACUCACUACAAAUACACGUCUUUUCAUUCUCAUUUCUCUUUCUUAUCUCCCCUUUCAACUUUCACCCAGUCCUUUUUACAAAGCUUUUAUCAACUCUGUCUGUCUGGUAAAAAAGGUUU
This is a non-coding RNA of Biomphalaria pfeifferi, 287 nucleotides long. The record is from the annotation of a GenBank genome assembly. Lineage: Eukaryota; Metazoa; Mollusca; Gastropoda; Planorbidae.